GCUUGUCUCAAAGAUUAAGCCAUGCAUGUCUAAGUAUAAGCCUUUAUAUGGUGAGACUGCGAAUGGCUCAUUAAAUCAGAAACUGUUUAUUUGAUAGUGCCUACUACAUGGAUACCUGUAGUAAUUCUAGAGCUAAUACAUGCGUCAAGUCCGGACCGCGCGAGCGGGAAGGAUGUGUUUAUUAGAUACAACCAACCCUUCGGGUUCCUGGUGAGUCAUAAUAACCGAACGAACCGCAGGCUUCGGCGGCGGUGGUUCAUUCAAGUUUCUGCCCUAUCAGCUUUCGAUGGUAGGGUAUUGGCCUACCAUGGCGUUAACGGGUAACGGAGAAUUAGGGUUCGAUUCCGGAGAGGGAGCCUGAGAGAUGGCUACCACAUCCAAGGAAGGCAGCAGG
This 394-nucleotide ribosomal RNA is filed under the name Adriamonas peritocrescens. RNAcentral describes it as "partial small subunit ribosomal RNA". It matches the Rfam family "Eukaryotic small subunit ribosomal RNA", at positions 30 to 432 of the family's 1831-position model. The record is from RNAcentral. Lineage: Eukaryota; Bigyra; Bicosoecida; Siluaniidae.